RNAcentral lists this ribosomal RNA (421 nucleotides) under uncultured bacterium. RNAcentral's name for it is "bacterial SSU rRNA". It matches the Rfam family "Bacterial small subunit ribosomal RNA", at positions 355 to 774 of the family's 1533-position model. The record is from RNAcentral.
UGAGGAAUAUUGGGCAAUGCCCGCAAGGGUGACCCAGCAACGCCGCGUGGAGGAUGAAUGUCGUAAGAUUGUAAACUCCUGUUAGAGGGGAAGAAUAGUACCGGUUGGACCGGUAUAUGACUGUACCCUCAGAGAAGCCCCGGCUAACUACGUGCCAGCAGCCGCGGUAAUACGUAGGGGGCAAGCGUUGUCCGGAUUUACUGGGUGUAAAGGGCGCGCAGGCGGGAUAAAAAGUCAGUGGUGAAAUCCUACAGCUUAACUGUAGAACUGCCUUUGAUACUUUUAUUCUUGAGUUCGGGAGAGAGAGACGGAAUUCCAGGUGUAGUGGUGAAAUACGUAGAUAUCUGGAAGAACACCAGUUGCGAAGGCGGUCUCUUGGUCCGACACUGACGCUGAGGCGCGAAAGCGUGGGGAGCAAACA